GAUGAACGCUGGCGGCGUGCCUAAUACAUGCAAGUCGAGCGAACAGAUAAGGAGCUUGCUCCUUUGACGUUAGCGGCGGACGGGUGAGUAACACGUGGGUAACCUACCUAUAAGACUGGGAUAACUUCGGGAAACCGGAGCUAAUACCGGAUAACAUUUGGAACCGCAUGGUUCUAAAGUGAAAGAUGGUUUUGCUAUCACUUAUAGAUGGACACGCGCCGUAUUAGCUAGUUGGUAAGGUAACGGCUUACCAAGGCGAGGAUACGUAGCCGACCGGGAAGGGGGAUCGGCCACACUGGAACUGAGACACGGUCCAGACUCCUACGGGAGGCAGCAGUAGGGAAUCGUCUGCAGUGGGCGGAAGCCUGACGGAGCAAAGCCGCGUGAGUGAUGAAGGGUUUCGGCGCGUAAAACUCUGUUAUUAGGGAAGAACAAACGUGUAAGUAACUGUGCACGUCUUGACGGUACCUAAUCAGAAAGCCACGGCUAACUACGUGCCAGCCGCCGCCGUAA
This 513-nucleotide ribosomal RNA is filed under the name uncultured bacterium. RNAcentral describes it as "partial 16S ribosomal RNA". It matches the Rfam family "Bacterial small subunit ribosomal RNA", at positions 28 to 523 of the family's 1533-position model. The record is from RNAcentral.